This 200-nucleotide small nucleolar RNA is filed under the name Dipodomys ordii (Ord's kangaroo rat). RNAcentral's name for it is "Small nucleolar RNA SNORA73 family (ENSDORG00000022189.2)". Lineage: Eukaryota; Metazoa; Chordata; Mammalia; Rodentia; Heteromyidae. The record is from RNAcentral.
UCAUUGUGGAUACCUUGGGGGUCACCUUGUCCAACAGGUUUCAGGGAGCAAAUGGCUCUACCCCAUAGUGAACAGUUCCUUUCUACAAAUGCUGGGGAACGUGUUCACCAGCCUUGAGUUUCCACCUGCAUGUUCACUGCUAUUACUUCUCAGAGUAUUGUGGCCACCAGCUGAAGAGGUACAUCGUGUAGGAAAGAGUC